This 230-nucleotide ribosomal RNA is filed under the name Lemur catta (Ring-tailed lemur). RNAcentral's name for it is "partial 12S ribosomal RNA". The record is from RNAcentral. Lineage: Eukaryota; Metazoa; Chordata; Mammalia; Primates; Lemuridae.
CAAAAUUACUCGCCAGNGCACUACAAGCAACAGCUNUAAAACUCAAAGGACUUGGCGGUGCUUUAUAUCCCUCUAGAGGAGCCUGUUCUAUAAUCGAUAAACCCCGAUAAACCUCACCACUUCUUGCUAAUUCAACUUAUAUACCGCCAUCCCCAGCAAACCCUAUUAAGGGGCCAAAGUAAGCAAAAACANCAUACAUAAAGACGUUAGGUCAAGGUGUAGUCAAUGAA